ACCCAGCAUUUCUCAAGGCAACAGCUGAGCAUUAUUAUCUCAGACCUCUGUAUUUAAUCUGAUAUUUCAUAAAAGCAUUGUGGUGAAUGAAAAUAUAUAAUGGAAGAUAAGAGAAUUUUCCCACUAAAGAUGCAGCUAAAUGGAAUAUGAUUUGAAGUGGAAUACAAACAUGACACAUAAAAUAAGAGAGAAUUCAAACAAUUCAUACAAUUAAGCAGGACCAGCAGCCAGCUCAGUGAAUCCUCCACUGCUUCCAGCAUUUGCCCACCUGGCUCACAUUCACCAGCUCAAAUGCAUGUGAGAGGAGAUGUUCCAGGAGUAGAUGGACUUCAUGCACAUCCUUGUGGAGGAGAUCUAGGCAGAGCGGCAGGACUGUAUCUCUGAGCACUGGGAGAGGAGAGCAAUCUUGGAGCAGCUCACCAGACAGCAUGAGAUGAUGUUUGCUUCUCUGACUGCUGUCAUGGAUCAUGUGUCAUCCUGUCUCAAACAAACCACCUCACAGAAUCCUGCCUGCCCCUAUCACAUCCCCAAUCCCUCCUUCUCAUGCACCGUGGCUUCUGCCCCCAGGGUCCACUGGGGCCCUAGGACAUGGGGAGGGGGAGGAAGAAGGCAGUCCCACUCCCAUUCCUGAGCCCCUUUCCUCUUCCAGUUCCCAGUUCUGUCCUUUCCCUGCUGUUUUCACCAAAU
Molecule: non-coding RNA, 687 nt
Organism: Pelodiscus sinensis (Chinese soft-shelled turtle)
Lineage: Eukaryota; Metazoa; Chordata; Testudines; Trionychidae
Source: RefSeq, a predicted model, not a curated record